This 374-nucleotide unclassified non-coding RNA is filed under the name uncultured bacterium. RNAcentral describes it as "contains 16S-23S intergenic spacer region". The record is from RNAcentral.
UCCGGCUUAUCACCGGCAGUUUCUUUAGAGUGCUCAACAAAAUGGUAGCAACUAAAGACGAGGGUUGCGCUCGUUGCGGGACUUAACCCAACACCUCACGGCACGAGCUGACGACAGCCAUGCAGCACCUGUGCGGGCUCCCGUAGGAGGACCGUGUUUCCACGGCUUCACCCCGCAUGUCAAGCCCUGGUAAGGUUCUUCGCGUUGCGUCGAAUUAAGCAACAUGCUCCGCCGCUUGUGCAGGCCCCCGUCAAUUUCUUUGAGUUUUAACCUUGCGGCCGUACUCCCCAGGCGGAUGACUUAACGCGUUAGCUGCGCCACCCAAGCACUAAGUGCCCGGACAGCUAGUCAUCAUCGUUUACGGCGUGGACUAC